RNAcentral lists this ribosomal RNA (164 nucleotides) under uncultured bacterium. RNAcentral describes it as "partial 16S rRNA". It matches the Rfam family "Bacterial small subunit ribosomal RNA", at positions 355 to 511 of the family's 1533-position model. The record is from RNAcentral.
UAGGGAAUCUUCCACAAUGGGCGAAAGCCUGAUGGAGCAACGCCGCGUGUGUGAUGAAGGGUUUCGGCUCGUAAAACACUGUUGUAAGAGAAGAAUGACAUUGAGAGUAACUGUUCAAUGUGUGACGGUAUCUUACCAGAAAGGAACGGCUAACUACGUGCCAC